This is a long non-coding RNA of Oncorhynchus kisutch (coho salmon), 725 nucleotides long. RefSeq lists it as uncharacterized. The record is from RefSeq and is a predicted model, not a curated record. The transcript is spliced from 3 exons. NCBI's taxonomy places the organism in Eukaryota, Metazoa, Chordata, Actinopteri, Salmoniformes, Salmonidae.
GAGCCAGAGGGAGGCAGAGAGAGCCACAUAAUGGGAGGAGAACCAGAGAAAACUGCAGGAGAUCCACAGACUCAAACAACUGCUGGAUCUACUGAUGGUGGACCUACAACUGGCCCACAAGUGGGAGAAGAGGAACCUCAGAAAGAUAGAGAGAACGUAUCAGAGAGAGGCUGAGGAGGGCCAUAAUAUCGUCCACAUAGUCAUCCCUGGACCCAUAAGGCUAACCAUGACCCGGGCAGAGAGAGAGAGGAAGGAGCUCCUGAAGACUGAGGAGAGAAGGAAUAAGAUGGAUGAUUGCAGUGGAGAGAGCAGUCCCUGCUUAAUAAACGGACUCAUCAGAAACUUAAAGAGGAGAGGGAGAGGAUGAAGGAACAGUACCUAAAAAAACAAGCAAGAGAUUUAAGAUGGGGUAAAGAAUGUUUAAAAAUGUAUUCAUGUUUUACACUGUUAUAUAUAUGUUAUAUAGCAUUCCUGCUGUCUGUUGAGAGCUGGAACUCGACGAAGCCACAGUACCACUGAGGACCACUUCUCUACUCAAUCUUUACUAAUGAUUUACCUUCAGUAAUGAACAAAGCAAGAGUGGUCAUGUAUGCUGAUGAUUCUGCAAUGUAUAGUGCAGCAUCAGAAUGUAAUGAGCUAACAAAUGUACUGAGCAGUGUCCGGUUAUAUGGUCAAUCCCUGGUCCUAUCACACUUAGAGUACUGUCCAGUUAUAUGGUCAAUCCC